CCAAAAAUCCACAUUCUUAAAAGUCUUUUUGGCCACUGCAGGAGUACAGAGUACUGCAGGAUACACACACAUAUACACACACGCCAACACACACACACACACACACACACACACACACACACACACACACACACACACACACACACUCAGAGUCUGGUUUUUAGCACCUGCAAAAACAUGCUGUUUACAUAUUUGACAAGAAUGCAGAGGCUUCCUUUUGCCCCUGAAAAAAAUCUAAUUUCAAACACAACUUGACUGUUCAUUUCUCCAAAAGACAACCAUGAAGCUCCAUCCAAACCUGAAGCAGAUAGUUGGUGCAUGUGUACAGUAACCUGAGGGGAGUGAGGUGACUAUUUCUGAGGAGAACAUGAGCAGUGAAGAUUCACCUUGGAGCUAGAACAGGGACGUGCACAUGAUUAUACAGGGGCAGGGGCUCAACUUUUUUCCAGUCAUUUAUACAAUAUGGAAAUUAAUGUGAAAUUAAAAAACAAAGUAUUAAUAGAAAGGUUAUGACUGUCCUGUGUAGAUGACAGUGAUAUCCAAUAGGCUAGGCACUCACGAGGCUGGCUGUGGCAAGUGUAAGUGAAAGCAACACGCACUGGCAGGAAGAACAGCAAACGCCGAUGAAGGAAAGGGUCUUUGCAGUGAUGGGCGUUACCAGAGAGGACGAUGGCCAGAGGACGCGAAUGGGACGGGGAGGCAGCGCGUUGGGGGGGGCAGCGCGACACGGCUCGGGCCCGCCAGUGCCCCAACGGGGCCCUAGUUCUUCUUAUUUUUCCUCCCCUUUGAAGGGGAAAAUGGCCCACUUCCCACUGGCGAAAACUCAUGAAAUUUGGCAGGACGACCGGGCCUGGUGAAAAAUUCGAUAUUCUGAAGUCGCCCAAACAAGAAAAUGCAAAAUGGCUCAAUAGCGCCCCCAAAGGUGAAAAUUCACACUAUUGACUGUCACGCCUGUACGCUUUGUCAUAUUGACACAAAAAUUGACACACACAUGUAUCUCAAUAAGAUCUACAAAAAAGUCAGUGCGGGCGUAUCUGUCAAAUGUACAGUUAAAGGGUUAUUUCGCAUUUUUUGCCGUUCCGCACACAUUGGAAUUUCGCUAACUCCUCCGAAGGCUUUCGUUCCACCAGCACUACAUUUGCUCAGGCCAAUCUACACCCCAUGGCCAUUGAAAGUUGUACAAAUCAUGACGCUGCACCCCACGGUUUACGUUCUAGGGGGCGCCAAAGAUAACCCACAAAUCCACAUUCUUAAAAAUCUUAUAACUUUUUAUUUUUGUCCUCAUUGGCCUCCAAGUUUUCUAGGAUGAUGCAAUGUCCAGCCAUCAACACAUUUGUGAAGGAAUUUUUACUCCCCAAAACAGCGCCCCCCAUGGCAGGACAAAAAAGGCCAUUAGGGCCCGAGCGUAGCUGCUAAGCAGCUGCGAGAGCCCUCUUGUUCCUGCAUGUUUCCUUCUUUUGUUAUUAUUAGGGCCCGAGCCAGCUGCAGAGCAGCCGGGCGUAGGCCCUAUUAUUCCCCAAGUGGUUUUUCUUUGUUUCUUUCUUUCUUUUUUCUUUUUCCUCCCCUUUGAACUGGAAAAUGGCCCACUUCCCACUGGCGAAAACUCAUGAAAUUUGGCAGGACGACCGGGCCUGGUGAAAAAUUUGAUAUUCCGAAGUCGCCCAAACAAGAAAAUGCAAAAUGGCUCCAUAGCGCCCCCUAAGGUGAAAAUUCACACUAUUGACUGUCACGCCUGUACGCUUUGUCAAAAUGACACAAAAAUUGACACACACAUGUAUCUCAAUAAGAUCUACAAAAAAGUCAGUGCGGGCGUAUCUGUCAAAUGUACGGUUAAAGGGUUAUUUCGCAUUUUUUGCCGAUCCGCACACAUUGGAAUUUCGCUAACUCCUCCGAAGGCUUUCGUUCCACCGGCACCACAUUUGCUCAGGCCAAUCUACACCCCAUGGCCAUUAAAAGUUAUCAAAAUCAUGACGCUGCACCCCAAGGUUUAGGUUCUAGGGGGCGCCAAAGAUAACACUAAAAUCCACAUAUUUAAAAGUCUUAUAACUUUUUAUUUUUGUCCUCACUGGCCUCCAAGUUUUCUAGGAUGAUGCAAUGUCCAGCCAUCAACACAUUUGUGAAGGAAUUUUUACUCCCCAAAAGAGCGCCCCCCCAUGGCAGGAGAAAAAAGUCAAUUUUUUCUUGUCCCCUAAGGUGAAAAUACACAUUGUUGAGUGUCACGCCUAUACGCUUUGUCAAAAUGACACAAAAAUUGACACACACAUGUAACUCAAUAAGAUCUACAAAAAAGUCAAAGAGCGCGUAUCUGUCAAAUGUACAGUUAAAGGGUUAUUCCGCAUUUUUUGCCGAUACGCACACAUUGGAAUUUCGCUAACUCCUCCGAAGGCUUUCGUUCCACCGGCACCACAUUUGCUCAGGCCAAUCUACACCCCAUGGCCAUUAAAAGUUAUUCAAAUCAUGAUGCUGCACCCCAAGGUUUAGGUUCUAGGGGGCGCCAAAAAUAACCCAAAAAUCCACAUUCUUAAAUGUUUUAUAACUUUUUAUUUUUGUCCUCACUGGCCUCCAAGUUUUCUAGGAUGAUGCAAUGUCCAGCCAUCAACACAUUUGUGAAGGAAUUUUUACUCCCCAAAAGAGCGCCCCCCCAUGGUAGGAGAAAAAAGUCAAUUUUUUCUUGUCCCCUUACAUGAAAAUACACAUUGUUGAGUGUCACGCCUGAACGCUUUGUCAUAUUGACACAAAAAUUGACAAUCAUGUGUAUCUCAAUUAGAUCUACGAAAAAGUCAAAGAGCGCGUAUCUUUAUAAUGUACGGUUAAAGGGCUAUUUUGCAUUUUUUGCCGAUUCGCACACAUUGGAAUGUGGCUAUCUCCUCCUAAGGCUUUCGUCCCACCGAUACCAAAUUUGCUCAGGGCAAUCUACACCCCAUGCCCAUUCAAAGUUGUAAAAAUCAUGACGCUGCACCCCACGGUUUACGUUCUAGGGGGCGCCAAAGAUGACCCAAAAAUCCACAUUCUUAAAAGUCAUUUUGGCCACUGCAGGAGUACAGAGUACUGCAGUUCUAGGGGGCGCCAAAGAUGACCCAAAAAUCCACAUUCUUAAAAGUCUUUUUGGCCACUGCAGGAGUACAGAGUACUGCAGGAUACACACACAUAUACACACACGCCAACAUACACACACACACACACACACACACACACACAGACACACACACACACUCAGAGUCUGUUUUUUAGCACCUGCAAAAACAUGCUGUUUACAUAUUUGACAAGAAUGCAGAGGCUUCCUUUUGCCCCUGAAAAAAAUCAGAUUUCAAACACAACUUGACUGUUCAUUUCUCCAAAAGACAACCAUGAAGCUCCAUCCAAACCUGAAGCAGAUAGUUGGUGCAUGUGUACAGUAACCUGAGGAGAGUGAGGUGACUAUUUCUGAGGAGAACAUGAGCAGUGAAGAUUCACCUUGGAGCUAGAACAGGGACGUGCACAUGAUUAUACAGGGGCAGGGGCUCAAGUUUUUUCCAGUCAUUUAUACAAUAUGGAAAUUAAUGUGAAAUUAAACCACAAAUAUGUGUGAUGAACUGUUUUUAAAACUUAAACUUCAAAUAAAAAUUGUAAACUUCAAAACAUAUGCAAAUUUGUAACAAAGAACAUAGUAAUUUACCUCUAUUUACAUCAAAAUGCAGGCAAUGGCCCAGGCGUUCUUUGUAAAAUUAUUUACAAAACACUGUAUAGUCUCACAAAUGUCACUUUUUAUUUAUGCCACUACAAAAAAACAUGAUGUAAAUGAUGCAUGAUGUAAAACAUGAUGUAAAAAACUUGUGUAGAUCCUCCUCUAUGUCAGUCCAUGUGUAAUUUUUCCAUAAUUCUUUGUUUUUUGCAGCAUUUUUGUUAGUGUAACUGCAGAUUGUGCUGACUGUCUAUGGCAAAAAAAAAAAAACUGAAAAUGCCUCAACAUGAACCCCUGGUGGUCUCUGAGGGUGAAACCUGCUAACUGCUGCAGCUCUGUCAGCUUCUGUCUCCCAUGCAGAGCUCGGAGCGCAUGUGUGGCUCUGCACCCUUAGCAGCGUUGCUAACUCCUCAGUAAGGAAAGCCUGCUUCAUGUCAGAGUCUCUAAACUCCAGAAGAAGUCGAUAAAAGUCCCUUUCUUUCUAAAAAAAAGUCGUUAGGGGGUCUGAAAAGUCAUUGAAUCUAACAACAAAGUCGCUAGGUUUGCAACUACGUGUCCCAGACUGCAUCCCUGCUGAGAGUCCCUCCCUCCCUUCUCAUGUUGCAGGAAGAACGUAAGCGCCCGCCCCUUGUCAAUCAGUCACCAUAUAAUUUUGGAUUGGUUGUUGUGGUGAAGUUUUCCACCAAUAGGAGAGAUGUUGUGGUGUGUUUUUUUUUUCUUUUGGCAAGCCUUUUCCGCCUGUAUGACCUGUCACUAAUGUGUGCAUGCAAUGUUUUCCUGUCUCAUACAGCACGAUCGAGCGCCGAACGUGAUCAAAAUAAGCAGAAAAAAAGUAUCGCGGACAUAAUUUAUCAUAACUCUGGUUUUAUUUGGC
RNAcentral lists this long non-coding RNA (4535 nucleotides) under Xyrichtys novacula (pearly razorfish). Lineage: Eukaryota; Metazoa; Chordata; Actinopteri; Labriformes; Labridae. The record is from RNAcentral.